Molecule: ribosomal RNA, 198 nt
Filed under: uncultured bacterium
Lineage: Bacteria
Description: partial 16S ribosomal RNA
Rfam family: Bacterial small subunit ribosomal RNA
Source: RNAcentral
ACGCUCGACACCUACGGGGGGCAGCAGUGGGGAAUAUUGCACAAUGGGGGAAACCCUGAUGCAGCGACGCCGCGUGAGCGAAGAAGUAUUUCGGUAUGUAAAGCUCUAUCAGCAGGGAAGAUAAUGACGGUACCUGACUAAGAAGCUCCGGCUAAAUACGUGCCAGUAGCCGCGGUAAUCUGAGCGGGCUGGCAAGGC